CGGAAUCCGGGAGGACCAUCUCCCAAGGCUAAAUACUCCCUAGUGACCGAUAGUGAACCAGUACCGUGAGGGAAAGGUGAAAAGCACCCCGGAAGGGGAGUGAAACAGUUCCUGAAACCGUGUGCCUACAAGUAGUUAGAGCCCGUUAAUGGGUGAUAGCGUGCCUUUUGUAGAAUGAACCGGCGAGUUACGAUUUGUUGCAAGGUUAAGCGGAAAAAGCGGAGCCGUAGCGAAAGCGAGUCUGAAUAGGGCGCAUAAGUAACAGGUCGUAGACCCGAAACCAGGUGAUCUACCCAUGUCCAGGAUGAAGGUAAGGUAAUACUUACUGGAGGUCCGAACCCACGCACGUUGAAAAGUGCGGGGAUGAGGUGUGGGUAGCGGAGAAAUUCCAAUCGAACUUGGAGAUAGCUGGUUCUCUCCGAAAUAGCUUUAGGGCUAGCCUCGAGGUAAAGAGUCAUGGAGGUAGAGCACUGUUUGGACUAGGGGCCCUUCUCGGGUUACCGAAUUCAGAUAAACUCCGAAUGCCAUGUACUUAUACUCGGGAGUCAGACUGCGAGUGAUAAGAUCCGUAGUCGAAAGGGAAACAGCCCAGACCACCAGUUAAGGUCCCCAAAUAUAUGUUAAGUGGAAAAGGAUGUGGGGUUGCUUAGACAACCAGGAUGUUGGCUUAGAAGCAGCCACCAUUGAAAGAGUGCGUAAUAGCUCACUGGUCGAGUGACCCCGCGCCGAAAAUGUACCGGGGCUAAACAUAUUACCGAAACUGUGGAUGAACCUCUUUAGAGGUUCGUGGUAGGAGAGCGUUCUAAGGGCGGUGAAGUCAGACCGGAAGGACUGGUGGAGCGCUUAGAAGUGAGAAUGCCGGUAUGAGUAGCGAAAGAAGGGUGAGAAUCCCUUCCACCGAAUAUCUAAGGUUUCCUGAGGAAGGCUCGUCCGCUC
This 936-nucleotide ribosomal RNA is filed under the name Listeria monocytogenes. Its description in RNAcentral is "partial 23S ribosomal RNA". It matches the Rfam family "Bacterial large subunit ribosomal RNA", at positions 438 to 1375 of the family's 2925-position model. Lineage: Bacteria; Bacillati; Bacillota; Bacilli; Caryophanales; Listeriaceae. The record is from RNAcentral.